AUGCGCGAGAUCUUCAAGCGCGUGCCCCCGGACGACUCCAGGAGCCUCGUCCGCGCCGCCGUCGUCUGCACGAGCUGGCACGACAUCCUCUCCGACGCUGACUUCGCCCGCGAGUACCGCGCCUUCUACGGGGCGCCGCCCGUGCUGGGCUUCCUCCACAACACGCGCCACAAGAGGUCGUGGGAAAAGGGGAGAAUCAGACACUACAGAAAGGAGUACGUGGUCUCCAACUUCGUCUCCACCGCGUCCUUCCGCACGCCGGCGUGCCGCGAGCGCCGCCACUGGCGCGUUCUCGACUCCCGCCACGGCCUCGUCCUCUUCCACACCCCUAAAAGUGACUGA
Molecule: ribosomal RNA, 342 nt
Filed under: Triticum aestivum (bread wheat)
Lineage: Eukaryota; Viridiplantae; Streptophyta; Magnoliopsida; Poales; Poaceae
Description: partial small subunit ribosomal RNA
Source: RNAcentral